This 699-nucleotide ribosomal RNA is filed under the name uncultured bacterium. RNAcentral describes it as "bacterial SSU rRNA". It matches the Rfam family "Bacterial small subunit ribosomal RNA", at positions 8 to 755 of the family's 1533-position model. The record is from RNAcentral.
AGAGUUUGAUCCUGGCUCAGAACGAACGCUGGCGGCAGGCUUAACACAUGCAAGUCGAACGCCCCGCAAGGGGAGUGGCAGACGGGUGAGUAACGCGUGGGAAUCUACCGUACCCUACGGAAUAACGCAUGGAAACGUGUGCUAAUACCGUAUACGCCCUACGGGGGAAAGAUUUAUCGGGGUAUGAUGAGCCCGCGUUGGAUUAGCUAGUUGGUGGGGUAAAGGCCUACCAAGGCGACGAUCCAUAGCUGGUCUGAGAGGAUGAUCAGCCACAUUGGGACUGGGACACGGCCCAAACUCCUACGGGAGGCAGCAGUGGGGAAUAUUGGACAAUGGGCGCAAGCCUGAUCCAGCCAUGCCGCGUGAGUGAUGAAGGUCUUAGGAUUGUAAAGCUCUUUCACCGAUGAAGAUAAUGACGGUAGUCGGAGAAGAAGCCCCGGCUAACUUCGUGCCAGCAGCCGCGGUAAUACGAAGGGGGCUAGCGUCGUUCGGAAUUACUGGGCGUAAAGCGCACGUAGGCGGAUAUUUAAGUCAGGGGUGAAAUCCCGCAGCUCAACUGCGGAACUGCCUUUGAUACUGGGUAUCUCGAGUAUGGAAGAGGUGAGUGGAAUUCCGAGUGUAGAGGUGAAAUUCGUAGAUAUUCGGAGGAACACCAGUGGCGAAGGCGGCUCACUGGUCCAUUACUGACGCUGAGGUGCG